This 554-nucleotide ribosomal RNA is filed under the name uncultured archaeon. RNAcentral describes it as "bacterial SSU rRNA". It matches the Rfam family "Archaeal small subunit ribosomal RNA", at positions 324 to 879 of the family's 1478-position model. The record is from RNAcentral.
UUCGGGGUGCCCAGGCGCGAAAACUUUACAAUGCCGGCAACGGCGAUAAGGGGACCUCGAGUGCCAGGUUACAAAUCUGGCUGUCGAGAUGCCUAAAAAGCAUUUCAUAGCAAGGGCCGGGCAAGACCGGUGCCAGCCGCCGCGGUAACACCGGCGGCUCGAGUGGUAACCGUUAUUAUUGGGUCUAAAGGGUCUGUAGCCGGCCGGAUAAGUCUCUUGGGAAAUCCAGCAGCUCAACUGUUGGGCUUUCAGGAGAUACUGUCUGGCUCGAGGCCGGGAGAGGUGAGAGGUACUUCAGGGGUAGGGGUGAAAUCUUGUAAUCCUUGAAGGACCACCAGUGGCGAAGGCGUCUCACCAGAACGGACCUGACGGCAAGGGACGAAAGCUAGGGGCACGAACCGGAUUAGAUACCCGGGUAGUCCUAGCCGUAAACGAUACUCGCUAGGUGUCGGCCACGGUGCGACCGUUGUCGGUGCCGUAGGGAAGCCGUGAAGCGAGCCACCUGGGAAGUACGGCCGCAAGGCUGAAACUUAAAGGAAUUGGCGGGGGAGCAC